AACGAACGCUGGCGGCAUGCCUAACACAUGCAAGUCGAACGAGACCUUCGGGUCUAGUGGCGCACGGGUGCGUAACGCGUGGGAACCUGCCCUUAGGUUCGGAAUAACUCCCCGAAAGGGGUGCUCAUACCGGAUAAUGUCUUCGGACCAAAGAUUUAUCGCCUUUGGAUGGGCCCGCGUUGGAUUAGCUAGUUGGUAGGGUAAAAGCCUGCCAAGGCGACGAUCCAUAGCUGGUCUGAUAGGAUGAUCAGCCACACUGGGACUGAGACACGGCCCAGACUCCUACGGGAGGCAGCAGUGGGGAAUAUUGGACAAGGGGCGAAAGCCUGAUCCAGCAAUGCCGGGUGAGUGAUGAAGGCCUUAGGGUUGUAAAGCUCUUUUACCCGGGAUGAUAAUGACAGUACCGGGAGAAUAAGCUCCGGCUAACUCCGUG
RNAcentral lists this ribosomal RNA (433 nucleotides) under uncultured bacterium. RNAcentral's name for it is "partial 16S ribosomal RNA". It matches the Rfam family "Bacterial small subunit ribosomal RNA", at positions 29 to 507 of the family's 1533-position model. The record is from RNAcentral.